Molecule: ribosomal RNA, 368 nt
Filed under: uncultured organism
Description: bacterial SSU rRNA
Rfam family: Bacterial small subunit ribosomal RNA
Source: RNAcentral
CGAAGGAUGCAAGCGUUAUCCGGAUUCAUUGGGUUUAAAGGGAGCGUAGGUGGACUGAUAAGUCAGUGGUGAAAUCUUCGAGCUUAACUCGGAAAUUGCCAUUGAUACUGUUGGUCUUGGGUACAGUUGCUGUGGGCGGAAUAUGACAUGUAGUGGUGAAAUACAUAGAGAUGUCAUAGAACACCGAUUGCGAAGGCAGCUCACAAAGCUGUAACUGACACUGAGGCUCGAAAGUGCGGGGAUCAAACAGGAUUAGAUACCCUGGUAGUCCGCACCGUAAACGAUGAUUACUCGCUGCUAGAUGGCAACAUUUAGUGGCUUAGCGAAAGCGAUAAGUAAUCCACCUGGGGAGUACGCCGGCAACGGUG